ACUUAUUUUGGAAACUAGAUUAUUCUCAGUAGAUGUUCUCAAGUUACCAUACAUAAAAACCUGCUCUGUACCUGCAAAAUGUCCACUUACUUGACUUUUCUUCAAAAUGGAUAUGGGUUUAUUUUAUUAAAUUUCCUGCUUGUCUGAUAAUACCAGAGGAAUAUUCUAUUUGUUCAUCUAAACAACUUUGUUCUUAAGUGUUUGGCUUGGAGCAAAGAAACUAAAUUAAUCAGGGUUGCAUGUUCCUGUCCAGUGACUUACAUAAAAUGAAAUUGAUGGCCUGGUCUUAAGUUAUACAGGUGGUUCUUGCUAUUAAAAUAAAUUCCACAUAUAAAAAUUUACUUUAGCCAGACGUAUAAGGAAGGGAAACAUUUGUCUAUUGUUUCCAAACCCAGUUUGGUUUUUAAGGUGUCUUUAGUCCAACCUUACUUCUGUUGUUAAACUGUUCUGCUAAAAAUAGUUCUGAAUAGUUCAAAGCCACAUCUUUGCUGUUCUCAUUUAUAAUCUGUUGAAUUUAUAUCAUUGAGGAAUAAAUGGAUUAAAUUUUAGGGGUGAGUACUUUUCAACAAAGUAAUUCAAGUGUGAUUAAGCCCUUUCUAAUUAUAUUUGUGACUUCAAACAACAUUUCAAUGUUUCAUUUAAAUAAGUUUUUAACCAAGAUCAAAUUUUGGUGUUUAGAUUCCUCUUUCUUUCCUUCCAGGAACAAUGAAAUACAGGCUUACUAAAUCCACUAAGCUACAUUAUCUGCUAAACACCUGAAUCAGGUCACCUAAAAAUGUCAACUAGAUGACCAGGCAUGACAGGGAUCUUGAAUAGAUCUAUUAAAAGAUGUGGUAAAAUGGGAUCAGAGAGAUUUGUUGUGAGGAUUAAACACCUUGAGUAACUUAAUAUGUAUGCAUGCUUAGAAGAGUGCCUGACAAAUAGUUCACAAAAAGGAGGUGAGCCAGAUGGUUCCUGGAAAGAAAAGAACAAGGAAAUUCCAGCAAUCACAAGCUCUGGGCAGAGAUAACCACAACACCUCACCUUGAGAAAGCAGGUCUGAGGAGUGAGGUUUUUCUUUUCUUGGAUGAUUUGGCAAGCCUCUCCCUGCAGAGCUUGUACUGCAGCCACAAAUGUUUGCAGAUAGGCCUCCAGCCCUCAGUGAGCAAGUGAGAACCUGGGUCAUCACCCUUCCCAUUUCUGCUCCACUUUCUGCUUCCCUGGAGUUCAGGCUGGGCUCACAUUCUCCUUCGGCAAGGACUCAAUUAGUCCUCUUCCUUCUAAAUGUGGUGCCUUGUAUGCAAGGCUGAAAAAGGAUAGCUCUCUGUAGGGACUGAUGGGGCAUUGCCCUCGAGCCUGCCCUAGGCUCAGGAUCUAGAGACUGUAUGGUGAAAUGUGUGUGGGAAUAAAGGGAAGAAGGAAGUCAUUGAAGAGAGGAAAUAAAGUGGUGGUGGGUGGGGAGCGGGGCUUUGGGAGGCAGGUAUGGGUGACAAAACCUACUGCAUUAAUUAACAUAUUACUUGUUGCUACAACAGAUAAAUCCAAACAUUUCAGUUGCUUAAUCCUAAGAAAACUUAGUUCUUGCUCACAGGAAGUCCAAAACAAGUAUUUCUGAUUGGCAAGCAGCUGUCUUCCUAAGCUAUAAUUCAGGAACCUAGAUUCCUUGAAUCGUGUGUUCUAUCAUCUUUAAUGUGUGGCUUCUAAGUUCCUCUCCAACAAGCUAGAGGAAGGGCAAAAACCUGGACAGUCAAGUGUAAGGGCUUUUAUGGUUCUGUACUAGAAGUGUCACACAUCACAUUUUCUUAUGUUCGCUAGGACCCAGUCACAUGGCAUGCACAAUGGACAGAGAGGCUGGGAAAUGUAGUGUAGUUGAGUGCCCAAGAGAAAAAAAGGGGUUGGUGAGCAACUAGCUAAUUUAACAUUGCCUAUUUAAUUUUG
This is a non-coding RNA of Macaca mulatta (Rhesus monkey), 1917 nucleotides long. NCBI's taxonomy places the organism in Eukaryota, Metazoa, Chordata, Mammalia, Primates, Cercopithecidae. The record is from RefSeq and is a predicted model, not a curated record.